UCCCUGGCAGUCCAGUGGUUAGGACUUGCACUUUCAUUGCUGUGGCCUGGGUUCGAUCCCCGGUUGGAGAG
This 71-nucleotide transfer RNA is filed under the name Bos taurus (domestic cattle). It matches the Rfam family "tRNA". From Rfam's summary of the family: Transfer RNA (tRNA) molecules are approximately 80 nucleotides in length. The record is from Rfam by way of RNAcentral. Lineage: Eukaryota; Metazoa; Chordata; Mammalia; Artiodactyla; Bovidae. RNAcentral also lists the same sequence under 3 other names.